This 644-nucleotide ribosomal RNA is filed under the name Acarospora glaucocarpa. RNAcentral describes it as "SSU rRNA". It matches the Rfam family "Bacterial small subunit ribosomal RNA", at positions 375 to 1103 of the family's 1533-position model. The record is from RNAcentral. Lineage: Eukaryota; Fungi; Ascomycota; Lecanoromycetes; Acarosporales; Acarosporaceae.
GCGAAAGCUAGUUGUAUUAAUUAUUAGUUAAUGCAAGAUCGACUAUGUCGACUAAAGUUCUAGGUAGAAUAAUGAUGAUGACAAUUUUCUACCUAUAUGUCUUGACCAAAUCUCGUGCCAGCAGUCGCGGUAAUACGUGAAAGACUAGUGUUAUUCAUCUUUAAUAGGUUUAAAGGGUACCUAGACGGUAUUUUUAGCCCAAAACAGGGUACGGACUUACUAGAGUUUUAUGUGAGAAGGGGAGUACUUGUAGAGUAGAGAUGAAAUUUUGUGAUACUAUGAGGAAACUGGUGGCGGCGAAAGCAACCUUCUAUGUAUUAACUGACGUUGAGGGACGAAGGCUUGGGUAGCAAAUAGGAUUAGAGACCCUAGUAGUCCAAGCAGACAAUUCUGAAUGCCAUAGAUUAGAUUAUUUUUGGUCUAUAAAUGAAAGUGUAAGCAUUCCACCUUAGGAGUAAUGUGGCAACACAGGAACUGAAAUCAUUAGACCGUUUCUGAAACCAGUAGUGAAGUAUGUUAUUUAAUUUGUUAGUCCUCAAAAAACCUUACCACAACUUGAAUGUUAUUAAAUUAAUACAAGCGUUGCACGGCUGUCUUCAGUUAAUGUCGUGAGAUUUUGGUUAACUCCAUUAAUUAACGUAAAC